Long non-coding RNA from Leopardus geoffroyi (Geoffroy's cat), 3609 nucleotides. RefSeq lists it as uncharacterized. Lineage: Eukaryota; Metazoa; Chordata; Mammalia; Carnivora; Felidae. The transcript has 3 exons. The record is from RefSeq and is a predicted model, not a curated record.
GGGCCGCCACCAGGGGGCGCUGCGGGCCGCCGGCGCCGUGGGGGGAAGGGAGGGUCCGCGCCGGGACCGGACCACGUGCGCACCACGUGGCGCACCCGGCAGCCCCGGACCGCGGUCAGACGGCCGGGCCGGCCACGCCGCGCCGCGCCGCCAGCAGCCGGCAAAGGCUAAGGGAUCGGUCUGCCCCUGGCGCCCCUGCUGACCUCUGACCUCCGACCCCACUACCUUUCGGGUUGCCCCUCGCGGGUGGCCGCGCGGUGUGUUUAUAAACAGAGCUCUCGGCGGCGCCCAAACCCCGGAUCGCGGAUCGACUCCCGGGGAGCGGAGCCUCCUGCGCAUGCGCCCCGCGUCUUCCGCGGGGCUCUUCCUGCGCAAGCGCCUUGGCGGGCGGAGGGCGCCGCUGCGCCGGGCGGGGACCCGUCGGGAGCGGGAGGGCGGCGGCCGGGACAAGCUGGGUUCCGCGGUUGCGGCCCGGCUGGGCCCCGCCCGCUCCUUCCUGGGAUGCGUUCCGCGGUUGCUGCCCGGUGUCCUGAGGCCGGGCCCCGUGUGGGAAGUAGGGUACAGGCGGCAGGUCGGGCAGAUGAGCUCCUGAUCUGCGCACCCCCCCCCCCCCCCCCCCCCCCCCCCCCCGGCUGUCCUCCCUGGCCCACGUGGCCCUGGGGCCGGUCCCCACCCAAGAGAGCCUUUAAACCCAGCAGCCCCCAGCCUCCCCCCCGCCCCCCCCCCCCCCCCCCCGUGCUGAUGAAUGGGUGCUCAUAAGGUGUUUACACACAGUGGGAUACUGCUGAGCCUCAAAAAGCCAGAAAGAUACUGUGUUAGCUGUGUCGAUGAACAAGGAAGACAGCUCUGCCCCAGGCCACGAGGGCCACGAACCUGAGGCUGAGUGACAGAAGCCAGACACGGAAGGACCACUCCUGCACUCACAGGAGGGCAAAUUCAUAAGGACAGAGAGAAUAGAGGUGCCCAGGGGAUGGGAAUUCUUUGAUGGGGACGCAGUCUGAGUUUGCGAAGAUGAAAAAAAGUUCUGGAGACGGAUGGUGUCAGCGGCUGCACAGCGAUGUGAAUGUGCUUAAUGCCCCUGAAUCCUGCACUUGACAAUGGUUAAAAUGGCAAAGGGUGUGCGGUGUGUGUGCUUUACCACAUCCUCCCCAGUCAGUAUCACAUCAAGUUGUGCCAGGCAAGAUCCUUUCUGUGUUCUAAAAGGCCCCGACCUCUCUCAUCCCUGCCCACCUCAUCUCGAGCCCCUCCGGCCCCAACCAGUCGCCUUUCUUGCCUAGAACACACCACUUUUGCUGCUCCUUGCUGUUCUUGCUGACAGAAAUGCUUGUCCCUCUCGUCUUCGCACGGCUGUUCCCUUCUCGUGGACUCGUCCAUUUCAUACACCUGCUUAUUUUCUGCCAGGCAUUAUACAAGACCGGGCGAUGCACAGGUGAUCAAAACAGGUAGGAGUCUCCUCUCGUGGGCUUUAUAAUCUGGCAGAGGGUAUAAACGCAGAAAAAUGUCAGAUGGUCCCCACAGGUGGUUUAUUUCAACAUGCAGAUGGCCUUAAGACCGGCAUUCUAGAACAGAGCAUCUCAGACUUGACCGUGUCUGUCUGUGAAUCACCUGGGGGAUGGGUUCAAAUGUGGGUUCUGAUCCAGGAAGUCUGGGGUGGGGCCGAGCUCUGGGGUAUUGCGGAUGGUGUCAAAUGAGGACCACAUUUUGAGUCGCAGAAAUCUCCCAGGUGCUGCUGAUGCGGAUGCUGCUGGUCGCUGGACCACGUCUCGAACAUCAAGGAUCGACUGGGGCCUAAGAGCAGCGGCCGCUGGGCCUUGCUAGAAAUGCAGGCUCUCGGGCACCACCCCCGCCCGCUGCCUCGGAUGCUGCAUCUGACGAGGUCCCAGGUGCCUGCUAGGCAUGUAACCCUGGGAUGAGCCCCGGUCGAGGGUCCUCCCUGUCUUGGCCCUGUGGUCUCACCAGCUCAUAGCGGAGGGGACGGGCCGUGAGUGUCUGGGCUUCUGGCUUCUGUCCCUGGAAAGCUCUGAACAACUCCCUGCCCCCCACCUCCCCCCAACCAAGGGAGAAUAGUGAUAAGUGACUGUUUCUCAAGUGCCCCGACCUUUCUUGGAAUGGACAGCCCCCGGUUAGGAGGAGGAUUUCGUGUUUGCGGGCCACGUUGGCCGCGCCUCUUGUCAUCCUAGAGAUGGCAGUGCAGGACGGCAGUUGAACAAGGCCGCAGCCGCAAACCCGCAGCAGCUCCUCCCAGACGCUGCCAUCAUCCCUCCCACUGUGAUCGCCAGAACUGGCCCCGGUUCUCCCCCGGGGUCCCAGCCCUGAGCUCUGGUUUUCCCGGCCAAGGCCACGGCGGGGGUUGGGGGGGGGGGGGUGUGAGGCAGGCGCCCCGCCCCGAGCCUGGUGGGGGUGGGCGGGGUUCGUGUAUAUCUGCCGCGACAGGAGAGCGUUCGCUAUUCCACCAGCAUUUCAUUGACUGCCUACUGUGUGACAUGCAGCCUGCUACGUGCCGGGGACCUAGAAGGCAAAGCGAGCCCACAGUGCUGGAGCCUGGCCAAAGCCACGAGCCAGCGCUGCCGCGGACAGCUGCCUGGUGCUCGGGGCGGGUAUAAGGAGGGUGGUGACCUCAUCUGGGAGGUGAGAUCGAAGGGACAGACAAGGAGCCUGGCAGGAAGCACACGUAGCAACUUUGAGGCAGAAACCGCAUGCGUGUCAGCACAUCCGUAUAGUUUCCAAAGAUCACUGGUACAAACUGGUCCCAGGCGGUCAAAGCUGGCAUCUACCGGCCAUCCUGUUACUCAGAAAGGGCACGUGCUUUUCGGCAGGAAUGGCCCCAAACGGUGCGGAAAUACCUGUCCUCAAAAUAAUGAGUGCGUGUUCCCAGAGCGGGGGGCCGUGUGCGAGAUGUGGCCCUCGGUCACGCGGAGCAGCGACGGCCCGGCUCUUGUCUGCAGAGGACUGCUGGUUUUACUGAAAAGGUACACAGGACAGAGCCAUGAGGAGAACCUUGAGGUCUCGAGACCUUUCUCUUGCUUGAACAGCAGCCCAUUAAUCAAAGCUUUGCAUUUAGUUUUUCGCCUCUUCUGAAUCGGUCUCACUCGAGUGCCCUCAGCCCGUAUUUGUAGAACCCGCUCACGGGAGCCGCCUGAGGACCUCCGCCAAAUGUCUGGCUGCACCCCAGACGCAUCGUCUCUGGAGUCUCCCCUCUCAGGAAGGGAGAGCUUCCUCUCGUAUGAGUGGUCUCUGGAUCCAGGCGGUCCCCAGAGGACCCUCUGCUCCUGCCUUGUUCUCCCGGGGUUGACGAGAUUUCAGGACUGUUGCCCAGCCAGACGUGGAGUUCUGAAGCUUCUGGAAUCUGCCUUUUUUGGCAAAGAGGCACAGAUGUUCAUCUCUCCUCCGCUGGCACCUUCCCACUGCUCGGGGCUCUGUGAGGGUGGGGGCUACAUCUGUCACGGUCACCGUCCCGCUGGCCCGCCGCGCCCCCAGAGCCUGGCAAAGAGGACGUGUGUCCUCGGUAACUGUGCCGAUCUGCCCCGAGCUGAGCUGACGCCGGUCCGACAGUCUCGCUCGUAGGCUCUGUCGUGUCCGUGAUCCUUCCGAUUUCCCAGCUCUUCUCAA